RNAcentral lists this transfer RNA (95 nucleotides) under Candidatus Zhuqueibacterota bacterium. Its description in RNAcentral is "candidate division KSB1 bacterium (marine sediment metagenome) tRNA-Sec". It matches the Rfam family "Selenocysteine transfer RNA". The record is from RNAcentral. Lineage: Bacteria; Pseudomonadati.
GGGAACGGAUGGGUGCCUGGUGGCCUCUGCGGUCUUCAAAACCGUUGCGCCCCGAUUAUUCGGGGUGGGUGGGUUCGAUUCCCACACGUUCCCGC